ACUCAUACCUUGUAGUGGAAAUACCAUGAUUAUAAAAGUGGUUUUUCCAGGGUGAGGCUCAUCCAUUGCACUUUAGGUAUGCUGCUGAUUCCUGUGAUUUCCCCAAAUGUGGGGAACUCAAAUGCAUAGUUUGUGUUAAUGGGGGAUUGCACUUUGAUUUCCCUGG
RNAcentral lists this small nuclear RNA (166 nucleotides) under Pogona vitticeps (central bearded dragon). Its description in RNAcentral is "U1 spliceosomal RNA (ENSPVIG00000011874.1)". It matches the Rfam family "U1 spliceosomal RNA". Rfam says of the family: U1 is a small nuclear RNA (snRNA) component of the spliceosome (involved in pre-mRNA splicing). Its 5' end forms complementary base pairs with the 5' splice junction, thus defining the 5' donor site of an intron. Lineage: Eukaryota; Metazoa; Chordata; Lepidosauria; Squamata; Agamidae. The record is from Rfam by way of RNAcentral.